UACGUAGGGCGCAAGCGUUGUCCGGAAUUAUUGGGCGUAAAGCGUGCGCAGGCGGUCUGUUAAGACCGAUGUGAAAUCCCCGGGCUUAACCUGGGAACUGCAUUGGUGACUGGCAGGCUUUGAGUGUGGCAGAGGGAGGUAGAAUUCCACGUGUAGCAGUGAAAUGCGUAGAGAUGUGGAGGAAUACCGAUGGCGAAGGCAGCCUCCUGGGCCAACACUGACGCUCAUGCACGAAAGCGUGGGGAGCAAACAGG
RNAcentral lists this ribosomal RNA (254 nucleotides) under uncultured bacterium. RNAcentral's name for it is "partial 16S ribosomal RNA". It matches the Rfam family "Bacterial small subunit ribosomal RNA", at positions 524 to 776 of the family's 1533-position model. The record is from RNAcentral.